ACGUCAGCGGUAUGAAGGUGGAGGUAUACCAAUAGACAAUAAGCGGCAGGAAGGUGGAGGUAUGCAGGAAACAGUAAGCGGUAGGAAGGUGGGGGGUAUGCAGUAGACAGUAAGCGGUAGGAAGGUGAAGUAUGCAGGAAACAGUAAGUGGUAGGAAGGUAGAGGUAUGCAGGAAACAGUCAUCAGUAGGAAGGUGGAGGUAGGCAGUAGACAGUAAGCGAAGGGAAGGUAGAGGUAUGCAGGAAACAGUAAGCGGUAGGAAGGUGGAGGUAUGCAGUAGACAGUAAGCGAAGGGAAGGUGGGGGUAUGAGUAGACAGUAAGCGGUAGGAAGGUAGAGGUAUGCAGGAAACAGUCAUCAGUAGGAAGGUGGAGGUAGGCAGUAGACAGUAAGCGAAGGGAAGGUA
Molecule: small RNA, 405 nt
Filed under: Spisula solidissima (Atlantic surf clam)
Lineage: Eukaryota; Metazoa; Mollusca; Bivalvia; Venerida; Mactridae
Description: cnRNA44
Source: RNAcentral